GAUGAAGAACGUAGCGAAAUGCGAUAAGUAAUGUGAAUUGCAGAAUUCAGUGAAUCAUCGAAUCUUUGAACGCACAUUGCGCCCGCCAGUAUUCUGGCGGGCAUGCCUGUUCGAGCGUCAUUUCAACCCUCAAGCCCAGCUUGGUGUUGGGGAUCGGCACAGGCGCCCUCGGGCGCCCGCCGUCCCCUAAAUCUAGUGGCGGUCCCGCUGCAGCCUCCUCUGCGUAGUAGUUUUCUCCUCGCAAGGGCAGCUCGGUGGCGACCUCGCCGUAAAACCCCCAACUUCUGAAAGGUUGACCUCGAAUCAGGUAGGAAUACCCGCUGAACUUAAGCAUAUCAAUAGCGGAGGA
This 349-nucleotide unclassified non-coding RNA is filed under the name soil metagenome. Its description in RNAcentral is "partial contains 5.8S ribosomal RNA, internal transcribed spacer 2, and large subunit ribosomal RNA". The stretch from base 1 to 120 matches the Rfam family "5.8S ribosomal RNA", at positions 35 to 154 of the family's 154-position model. The record is from RNAcentral.